This 908-nucleotide ribosomal RNA is filed under the name Rhodotorula glutinis. Its description in RNAcentral is "eukaryotic LSU rRNA". It matches the Rfam family "Eukaryotic large subunit ribosomal RNA", at positions 35 to 960 of the family's 3401-position model. Lineage: Eukaryota; Fungi; Basidiomycota; Microbotryomycetes; Sporidiobolales; Sporidiobolaceae. The record is from RNAcentral.
UGAGCAUAUCAAUAAGCGGAGGAAAAGAUACUAACAAGGAUUCCCCUAGUAGCGGCGAGCGAAGCGGGAAGAGCUCAAAUUUAUAAUCUGGCACCUUCGGUGUCCGAGUUGUAAUCUCUAGAAGUGUUUUCCGCGUUGGACCGCACACAAGUCUGUUGGAAUACAGCGGCAUAGUGGUGAAACCCCCGUAUAUGGUGCGGACGCCCAGCGCUUUGUGAUACACUUUCAAUGAGUCGAGUUGUUUGGGAAUGCAGCUCAAAUUGGGUGGUAAAUUCCAUCUAAAGCUAAAUAUUGGCGAGAGACCGAUAGCGAACAAGUACCGUGAGGGAAAGAUGAAAAGCACUUUGGAAAGAGAGUUAACAGUACGUGAAAUUGUUGGAAGGGAAACGCUUGAAGUCAGACUUGCUUGCCGGAGCUUGCUUCGGUUUGCAGGCCAGCAUCAGUUUUCCGGGGUGGAUAAUGACGGUUUGAAGGUAGCAGUCUCGGCUGUGUUAUAGCUUUCCGUUGGAUACAUCCUGGGGGACUGAGGAACGCAGCGUGCUUUUUGCGAAAGACUCGUCUUUUUCACGCUUAGGAUGCUGGUGGAAUGGCUUUAAACGACCCGUCUUGAAACACGGACCAAGGAGUCUAACAUGCUCGCGAGUAUUUGGGUGUCAAACCCGGAUGCGCAAUGAAAGUGAAUGUAGGUGGGAACCGCAAGGUGCACCAUCGACCGAUCUGGAUUUUUUAAGAUGGAUUUGAGUAAGAGCGCGUAUGUUGGGACCCGAAAGAUGGUGAACUAUGCCUGAAUAGGGCGAAGCCAGAGGAAACUCUGGUGGAGGCUCGUAGCGGUUCUGACGUGCAAAUCGAUCGUCAAAUUUGGGUAUAGGGGCGAAAGACUAAUCGAAUCAUCUAGUAGCUGGUUCUGC